Erpetoichthys calabaricus (reedfish) is the source of this 276-nucleotide long non-coding RNA. RefSeq lists it as uncharacterized. The record is from RefSeq and is a predicted model, not a curated record. The transcript is spliced from 3 exons. Lineage: Eukaryota; Metazoa; Chordata; Cladistia; Polypteriformes; Polypteridae.
CUGGAGCCUAGCAGCUGCUGAGGCUUGUCGAGCUGCAGCGACUCCGUUCUCGUGGCACCACAUGCUGCCGCCUCGGCGCUGACAACAGCCUGAGGAGCGGCACACCGCUGCCACUGACGCAGACCCAGGCAGUUGCAACACAAAAGACAACAAUCAAGUCAGAUGAAAAGACAAAAGAAUCAUAUUGGGCUGCUGGAGGAUCAGUGGAGAUCCAUGGCACUGUGCAGCUUUAAAAUAUUAUGAACUCUAAAUAAUGACAACUGAAAAAGACAGGAC